RNAcentral lists this long non-coding RNA (262 nucleotides) under Numida meleagris (helmeted guineafowl). RNAcentral's name for it is "lncRNA (ENSNMEG00000017895.1)". The record is from RNAcentral. Lineage: Eukaryota; Metazoa; Chordata; Aves; Galliformes; Numididae.
CUCAUUUUACUGACCGAAAUCUCUGUCUAUAGAAAGGAUCCAUAAAUCAGGUCUAGAAAGAUUGCAGACUGAAGGGUUGAGGCAGGAUCCAUGUACAACUCUGAACUAUGAUAACUGAAAAGGAACCUCCCAACUUUUCACUUGGAGCUGCUAAAUGUGCUUGCAUACUUGGAUAUUGAAGACAGCUGCUCCAAAAACAGGUACUGCAUUGCAGAUGAUCUUUGUUUGGUCACACCAACUGGAGGAGUAUGGGGAGUCCUGA